Molecule: ribosomal RNA, 762 nt
Filed under: uncultured bacterium
Lineage: Bacteria
Description: bacterial SSU rRNA
Rfam family: Bacterial small subunit ribosomal RNA
Source: RNAcentral
AGAGUUUGAUCAUGGCUCAGAACGAACGCUUGCGGCGCGCCUAAUACAUGCAAGUCGAACGAGGUAGCAAUACCAAGUGGCGCACGGGUGAGUAACGCGUGGAUAAUCUGCCCUUCAGUGGGGAAUAACCAUCCGAAAGGAUGGCUAAUACCGCAUGAGGCCACAGUUUCUGCGGAAACAGGGGUUAAAGAUUUAUCGCUGAAGGAUGAGUCUGCGUGGGAUUAGCUAGUUGGUGAGGUAACGGCUCACCAAGGCGACGAUCUCUAACUGGUCUGAGAGGAUGACCAGUCACACUGGAACUGAGACACGGUCCAGACUCCUACGGGAGGCAGCAGUAGGGAAUAUUGCGCAAUGGGGGAAACCCUGACGCAGCGACGCCGCGUGAGUGAUGAAGGCCUUAGGGUCGUAAAGCUCUGUUGAAUGGGAAGAAACAAAUGACGGUACCAUUCGAGAAAGGACCGGCUAACUUCGUGCCAGCAGCCGCGGUAAGACGAGGGGUCCUAGCGUUGUUCGGAAUCAUUGGGCGUAAAGCGUGUGUAGGCGGCCAUUCAAGUCAGUUGUGAAAGCCCCGGGCUCAACCCGGGAAGUGCUUCUGAUACUGUUUGGCUUGAGUACUGGAGAGGAUAGUAGAAUUCCUGGUGUAGUGGUGAAAUACGUAGAUAUCAGGAGGAAUACCGGUGGCGAAGGCGGCUAUCUGGCCAUGUACUGACGCUGAGACACGAAAGCGUGGGGAGCAAACAGGAUUAGAUACCCUAGUAGUCC